Molecule: ribosomal RNA, 325 nt
Filed under: uncultured Desulfobulbus sp.
Lineage: Bacteria; Pseudomonadati; Thermodesulfobacteriota; Desulfobulbia; Desulfobulbales; Desulfobulbaceae
Description: bacterial SSU rRNA
Rfam family: Bacterial small subunit ribosomal RNA
Source: RNAcentral
GAUGAACGCUAGCUACAGGCUUAACACAUGCAAGUCGAACGCGAAAGCGGCUUCGGCCGUGAGUAGAGUGGCGCACGGGUGAGUAACGCGUAGAUAACCUGUCUUCAUAUUCGGGAUAACACGCCGAAAGGGGUACUAAUACCGGAUACGCUUGUAUUUCAUAGGCAAGGCAAGGAAAGGUGGCCUCUACAUGUAAGCUACUGUAUGAAGAGGGGUCUGCGUACCAUUAGCUAGUAGGUGGGGUAAUGGCCUACCUAGGCGACGAUGGUUAGCGGGUCUGAGAGGAUGAUCCGCCACACUGGCACUGGAAUACGGGCCAGACUCC